CAGGAUUCCCCUAGUAACGGCGAGUGAAGCGGGAAAAGCUCAAAUUUAAAAUCUGGCUGUCUUAGAUAGUCCGAGUUGUAAUCUGGAGAAGUGUUUUCUACGCUGGACCGUGUACAAGUCUCUUGGAAUAGAGCGUCAUAGAGGGKGAGAAUCCCGUCUUUGACACGGACUACCAGGGUUAUAUGAUACACUCUCGAAGAGUCGAGUUGUUUGGGAAUGCAGCUCAAAAUGGGUGGUAAAUUCCAUCUAAAGCUAAAUAUAGGCGAGAGACCGAUAGCGAACAAGUACCGKGRGGGAAAGAUGAAAAGCACUUUGGAAAGAGAGUUAAACAGUACGUGAAAUUGUUGAAAGGGAAACGCUUGAAGUCAGUCGCGUUAGUUGAGACUCAGCCUUGCUUUUGCUUGGUGCAUUUCUUAGCUGACGGGUCAACAUCAAUUUUGAUCGUKGGAAAAAGGCCAGGGGAAUGUGGCACCUUCGGGUGUGUUAUAGCCCUUGGUUGUAUACAACGGUUGGGAUUGAGGACCGCAGUGCGCCUUUAUGGUCGGGGUUMGCCCUCGUUCGCACUUAGGAUGUUGGCAUAAUGGCUUUAAGCGACCCGUCUUGAAACACGGACCAAGGAGUCUAACAUGCCUGCGAGUGUUUGGGUGUAAAACCCGAGCGCGUAAUGAAAGUGAAAGUUGAGACCCCUGUCGUGGGGGGCAUCGACGCCCGGACCUGAAGUUUACGGAAGGAUCUGCGGUUGAGCAUGUAUGUUGGGACCCGAAAGAUGGUGAACUAUGCCUGAAUAGGGCGAAGCCAGAGGAAACUCUGGUGGAGGCUCGUAGCGAUUCUGACGUGCAAAUCGAUCGUCAAAUUUGGGUAUAGGGGCGAAAGACUAAUCGAACCAUUGAUAAUGCUACUUGGUGGUUAAGAGGCAGUUAAAGUACUGUCUAGUGAGU
RNAcentral lists this ribosomal RNA (938 nucleotides) under Xenasmatella ardosiaca. RNAcentral describes it as "LSU rRNA". It matches the Rfam family "Eukaryotic large subunit ribosomal RNA", at positions 70 to 1014 of the family's 3401-position model. The record is from RNAcentral. Lineage: Eukaryota; Fungi; Basidiomycota; Agaricomycetes; Xenasmatellaceae.